Aedes albopictus (Asian tiger mosquito) is the source of this 3271-nucleotide long non-coding RNA. RefSeq lists it as uncharacterized. The record is from RefSeq and is a predicted model, not a curated record. NCBI's taxonomy places the organism in Eukaryota, Metazoa, Arthropoda, Insecta, Diptera, Culicidae. The transcript has 2 exons.
UUCCAUGCAACCUUAACAACACAGUUACCCAAACUAUUGCUCAAACAGCAUCAAAUUAGUCAAGAAAUCAUAACACCCACGCUGUUUGUACCAUUUCAUUGCAGAAAUGGAGAAUUGAAAAUCUCACCAUACAAAAAUCCAGCUCACUACUUUCAAUCUAGUACUUCACUGAUUGCCUCCUAUUAUCUUUAAAAAAUGCGUAAUAAUUUAAAAAUCUUUCUUAGGCAAAGUUGUGGCCCCAGGCCAAUUGAGAGUGGUUCUUUGUAAGGAUUUUCUGUAACCUUUUGUAGCUAGAGUAUUAUCAAUGCAAUGUUUACACAUACAGGGUGUUAGGUUCGUGAGUGCAAACUUUUUAAAGGGUGAUAGAGGACCAUGAAUGGUGAAAACAUUUGUUCUACGCAUAUGGUUAAAUUUCAAUCGUUACGUAGUUAUUGAAGUUUCCAUGAAGAAAGGAGUUACUUCUUUUACUACAACUGCUCAUGAAACUUUAGAGCUGAACUAAUUUCUCUUGUGCUAUACUGUGCUUAUACCUACAUACAGCAAUCAAUGAAACGACAGGGGCUAAAAGGAGUCAUGGAAAGUGUCUAUGCGUUGACUAAACAAAUUUUUAAUGUGGGGAGCGGACCUGGUGUAAUGGUUAGAACACUUGACCAUCACGCCGAGGACCUGGGAUCGAAUCCCACUCCCGACAAACUCCAAGUUUUCCAUCCACAGGUUUUUUUUACGUAUUUGCUCCCAUAAAUAGUCCCUUCCAAUUUUUUUUCGGUUUUCGGUUUGAGAGUUGUUCCUGAGAUUUCUACUAGAGUUCCUACCAGGAUUUUGCAGGAGUUUUUCACGGGGACUCUGUUGGAGAACCUUCCGGGGUUUUGGGGCCGUCCAUAUACCACGUGGACAGAAAAUUCAUGGCUUUUGACCCCCUCCCCCCUCCCCGUGGACAAGCGUGGACUUUUCAUUGACCCCUACCCCCCUCCCCCAAUGUCCACGUGGACAUCCGAAAAAAGUUUAUAUUUCUAAAAUAAAUGGGAAAAUGUUUUGAAAGUUUUUUUUAUAUAUUGUUUUUUUUUGUAUACAAUGUCUUAAAUAUAGUUGAAAACUUUAUAAAAUACAAAUAUUCUAGAGCUUUACAUAGAAUACAAACAAGUAGCACAAAAUAGGUACCUACAAGUUUUCAACAUUGUUUUUAUUUCAGCUUAAUGUUUGUGAGAGUGGGUUCGAUUCUUGCUCCAGUUGGUGAAAAAUUUCCGUCAAACGGAAAAUUCUUCAUGGGGUGUUUUUCGUGUGAUGUCCAUCGCCUAAUGAUAGUUAUUGUUCAAUGUUUAGUCUGUACAGGUUGAAGACGGUGUUUUUUAGAAUGUUUGUUCAAUCUAUGAUUGUCUGAUUGUUUUGAAGAGAUAAGGUUAUUUUAAAUCUUAGAGUUUUGUUGAGACAAGACUUUAUUUCUUAGAUUCUUACAAAAAAACAAGAUUUACAGCAACUAAAUUGUUUUGCUAAGUCUUUAUUUAUGAGAUUUUCAGCCCGUGGCUGGUUCAUCUCAGUUGUGUUUUGCUAAGGUUUAGACUUUAAUAUCCAUUAGAAACAUCUUAAAUUUUAAAGGAACCUAAAAAAAAGUGUUUGAGAUAAGCUUGCAUAUCCCUACAUGUAUUUUGAAUCUUUGAAGUAGUUUAAAAAUUUGAUAUAAAACUUCAAAAAAUCCAUACAGAACUUGAUUGAAAAUUUUCUGACUGAAACACCAACAUUUACCAUUUUAAAUCUCCAGAAUAUUCCUUGAUGAAUAAAACUAAGUAUAAUUAGAAAUUCCUAUAAUUUAAAACAAAUUAGUCUGUUUAUCAAUACCAUAAUUUUUUUUCCUUGAAGAAGUAACUUAAAAUAAAUUGUAUGGAAGAACUGUUGAAGAGAAUCUCAUUAAUAAUUCGACAUAAUUUGUUUCGUUUGUAGAUUCUUGUUUCCAAAUUUAUAUGUCAAUGUUGUCCACGUGGACAUUUGAUGAACCCCCACCCCCCUCUCCGUGGACAAGCGUGGACUUUUUGCUGACCCCCUCCCCCCUCUAAGCUGUCCACGUGGUAUAUGAACGGCCCCUUUCUUCUAGAGGUUUUCCCGAUAUGCCUGAAGAAUUUCUUACUGGAUUCCUUCCGGAAAUCCUUCCAAAAUUUAUCUAGAGUACAUUCAGGAAUUUCUCUUAAUGGUUUUUCGGGAUAGCUUUGCUACAUUUUUUUGCAAAAUUUUCGGAGAUUUCUUCCUCGAUUUCAUCACGAGUUUUUAGAGUUCCUCCUUGAAUUUCCUUAAUAUUAUUUAAAUCCAUGGGAACUAUCAGCAAUAGCUUCUGCAGCAAUCCCAGAAGACACUCCGGAACAAAAAUCUAAUAAAGUCCAAGGUGAAUUCAGAAAAACUUUGCGAGACAUCCCAGGACCAACAACGGAAGGAAUUUUCUGAAAGAAGCCACGGAGAAAUCUCUGAUGACACUUCAAAAGAAAUCCCAGAAGAACCUUUAGGAAAUAUUCCAGCUGAACGUGCAGGAUGAAUCCAGGAAGAAACUCUAGAAGAAAGCUCACGAAGAGACUUUGAAGAAAUUACAGAAGACAUUUUGGAAAAAAAAAAUCAUUCAAAAUUGCUGAAAUUCAUGCAAAAAUAUAAUAUAUCCUAAGAGAAACUGGAAACCUCAAGGAAAUAUUCCAGCUGAAAGUCCAGUAUAAAUCCAGGAAGAAACUUUGGAAGAAAGCUCAAGGAGAGAUCUUGAAGAAAUUACACUCAGGAAAAAAUCUUCCAUAAAUGCAUGUGCAGCUGCAUAUACCUUGGCCGAUUUAUCAAUUUCAUUUGUACCAUAUACUAAUCACACCGCAGCUCACAUUUGUGACACGCAUAUAUGUCAUUUGGCUUCUCAUUCAAAGUAUGAGCCAGCUUCAUACCCAAAAAACUCAUUGCAAAACGAAGAUGGCCACCAAAAAAGUUUCCACGUCUUUCUGUUGCUGGAUUGCAGUUACUGGGACGAGCAGCCGAAGUACCACUAAUGUUAGUGAUGCACUACAAAGAUUGUGCUACGGAAGUGUGCAGAAGUCAUCACCACUAUCUUCCAGCAUAAAACACAGGACACAUAAUGAUGAAAACUCCCGGCGCAACGGUCACCCAUCGUAUGCCCCGUUCGGAAGCAGAAGGCUGGAAACCAUGAAUUCGGAAGCAUCGCCGGAAGCCGAAAUUCAAAGGCGAACUGCAUCUCGAGCUUGACCUCGAGCUGGACGUAAUUGUGAAUAAACUUUUUUUUGUAAAAUCCGUUUCA